This 251-nucleotide long non-coding RNA is filed under the name Lathyrus oleraceus (garden pea). RNAcentral's name for it is "Pisum sativum (pea) long non-coding RNA (PSAT_LNC001185)". The record is from RNAcentral. Lineage: Eukaryota; Viridiplantae; Streptophyta; Magnoliopsida; Fabales; Fabaceae.
CAAAGAGGCUUGGAAGAAUGUCAAUCGAAAAGGGAAAGCUGAUUUAGGGAAGCAAGUGGGAUUACAAAAGAACCAUAUUUUCAAUGGGUAAAGGAAAGGGUGGAGAUGAUCAAAAUGUCAUUCGUCAUUCGGGCACCUGUACCUCUUCCUGAACCUAAGCUCACCCACGUCCCUAUUGAAGAAGUGGAGGAACUCAAGACCACCAUGGCAAAGUUAGAAAAAGAGAAUGAAGUGUUGCAGAUAAAGCUCCA